GCCCGGGUGGUGAAAUUGGUAGACACGCUAUCUUGAGGGGGUAGUGACGAGAGUCGUGCCGGUUCGAGUCCGGCCCCGGGCACCA
This 85-nucleotide transfer RNA is filed under the name Marinobacter sp. RNAcentral's name for it is "tRNA-Leu". It matches the Rfam family "tRNA". Rfam says of the family: Transfer RNA (tRNA) molecules are approximately 80 nucleotides in length. Their secondary structure includes four short double-helical elements and three loops (D, anti-codon, and T loops). Lineage: Bacteria; Pseudomonadati; Pseudomonadota; Gammaproteobacteria; Pseudomonadales; Marinobacteraceae. The record is from RNAcentral. RNAcentral also lists the same sequence under 1 other name.